CACAAUGGGCGCUAGCCUGAAGGAGCAACGCCGCGUGCAGGAAGAAAGUCUUCAGAUUAUAAACUUUUUUUCUCUGUGAAGAUUUUGACGGUAGCAGAGGAAUAAGGGUUUGCUAAAUACGUGCCCGCAGCCGCGGUCAUACGUAGGACCCCAGCCUUAUCCGGAAUUACUGGGCGUAAAGAGUUGCGUAGGUGGCAGAGUAAUUCCGUAGUGAAAGUGUGGGGUUCAACCACAAACCCCUUAGGGAAAGUCCUCAGUUAGAGGACGGAAGGGGUUUUGGGAAUUCCCAGUGUAGGAGUGAAAUCCGUAGAUAUUGGGGGGAACACCGAAGGGGUAGGCAGCAAACUGGUUCCUUCCUGACACAAGGCACGAAAGCGU
This 378-nucleotide ribosomal RNA is filed under the name uncultured organism. RNAcentral's name for it is "bacterial SSU rRNA". It matches the Rfam family "Bacterial small subunit ribosomal RNA", at positions 367 to 762 of the family's 1533-position model. The record is from RNAcentral.